UGAAGUGCCGAGCCUGGAAGUGGCCCCUCACAGAAGAUGGCCGGUCACCUCCCCCAGCCCCGGCAUCGUCCCCGGCCGGCCGCCCAGGGCCCUGGAGCCAAGCUGACACUCGGUCCAGGAGUCGCUCUUAAACUCGAGCUCAGAUGGACGUAGAAACACAAGAGGAGCCAAAUCAUAUGUUUAAACAGUUCAAGAGGAAACCAGGCUCAGCAAGCAACUCCAACCCUGGAUUUAGCCUGGGUCCCUGUCAAUCACCAAACUGCUCUUCCAAGGACUCCUGUAUUUUCCAGAAGGAAGGAAGCUUAUUCCAGCGAGAACGUUUCCUAUCCAGUGCAGUCCUGAGCCCCAGACGUGAACCCGACGCUUCAUCUACCCAUGGCAUUGAUGUCUCUCAUUCAGUUGAAGACAUCAAUAUUUGUUCAAUAGUAUAAGUCUUAAAUAAACAUCCAAACGACGUAUUACA
Non-coding RNA from Oryctolagus cuniculus (rabbit), 463 nucleotides. Lineage: Eukaryota; Metazoa; Chordata; Mammalia; Lagomorpha; Leporidae. The record is from RefSeq and is a predicted model, not a curated record.